This 25-nucleotide non-coding RNA is filed under the name Cricetulus griseus (Chinese hamster). The record is from RNAcentral. Lineage: Eukaryota; Metazoa; Chordata; Mammalia; Rodentia; Cricetidae.
CACCCUAUCACUUCUUAGAACCUUU